CUGCAGUCGAACGGUAGCAGGAAGUGCUUGCACUUUGCUGACGAGUGGCGGACGGGUGAGUAAUGCUUGGGAACUUGCCUUUGCGAGGGGGAUAACAGUUGGAAACGACUGCUAAUACCGCAUAAUGUCUACGGACCAAACGGGGCUUAGGCUUCGGCGCAGAGAGAGGCCCAAGUGAGAUUAGCUAGUUGGUGGGGUAAAGGCUCACCAAGGCGACGAUCUCUAGCUGUUCUGAGAGGAAGAUCAGCCACACUGGGACUGAGACACGGCCCAGACUCCUACGGGAGGCAGCAGUGGGGAAUAUUGCACAAUGGGGGGAACCCUGAUGCAGCCAUGCCGCGUGUGUGAAGAAGGCCUUCGGGUUGUAAAGCACUUUCAGUUGUGAGGAAAAGUGAGUAGUUAAUACCUGCUCACCGUGACGUUAACAACAGAAGAAGCACCGGCUAACUCCGUGCCAGCAGCCGCGGUAAUACGGAGGGUGCGAGCGUUAAUCGGAAUUACUGGGCGUAAAGCGCACGCAGGCGGUUUGUUAAGCUAGAUGUGAAAGCCCCGAGCUCAACUUGGGAUGGUCAUUUAGAACUGGCAGACUAGAGUCUUGGAGAGGGGAGUGGAAUUCCAGGUGUAGCGGUGAAAUGCGUAGAUAUCUGGAGGAACAUCAGUGGCGAAGGCGACUCCCUGGCCAAAGACUGACGCUCAUGUGCGAAAGUGUGGGUAGCGAACAGGAUUAGAUACCCUGGUAGUCCACACCGUAAACGCUGUCUACUAGCUGUUUGUGGCUUUAAGCCGUGAGUAGCGAAGCUAACGCGAUAAGUAGACCGCCUGGGGAGUACGGCCGCAAGGUUAAAACUCAAAUGAAUUGACGGGGGCCCGCACAAGCGGUGGAGCAUGUGGUUUAAUUCGAUGCAACGCGAAGAACCUUACCUACACUUGACAUGCAGAGAACUUUCCAGAGAUGGAUUGGUGCCUUCGG
RNAcentral lists this ribosomal RNA (970 nucleotides) under Alteromonas sp. RNAcentral describes it as "bacterial SSU rRNA". It matches the Rfam family "Bacterial small subunit ribosomal RNA", at positions 55 to 1023 of the family's 1533-position model. Lineage: Bacteria; Pseudomonadati; Pseudomonadota; Gammaproteobacteria; Alteromonadales; Alteromonadaceae. The record is from RNAcentral.